This 1491-nucleotide long non-coding RNA is filed under the name Equus caballus (horse). RNAcentral's name for it is "lncRNA (ENSECAG00000056961.1)". The record is from RNAcentral. Lineage: Eukaryota; Metazoa; Chordata; Mammalia; Perissodactyla; Equidae.
GUCUCUCCCCGCUCUGUACCUUCUCUCCACUCGACACGGUGCCAGGGUGCUUUCCCCUCGUGGGAGGAGCUCUGGACCUGAGCCACCUUCCCAAAACCAAGGACUCUGGGUUUAAAGGGAGGAAUUGAGGGGCGAAUGAGAGAGGGAAAGCCCACCAGCCUCAGGGGCCUGGCUCAGACCCGGCACCCUCACGUCCACUGCGUUCUCUGGUCAGAGCAAGCCUCAGGCGCACCUGGAUCAAGGGCAGGGAACAGGCGCCCCGCCCCUUGAGGAGGGAGCUGCAAUGUCAUUGUGAAGGGCUUGGAGACAGGGAGGAGGAAAGCUUCCAGCCGCUGUGUGCGGUCCACCUCCAGCCACCGCUGAGGGCUCUGGGUCCACACCCACCGCUCCUCCUGUGAGCCCGGAGGGUCAGCAACAAGAGGCGUCACACGUGAGGAAGAGGCUGGGGGGAACCGCCGCACGGCAGUGAGAGUACAUGCUGGGAUAGAAUCGAUUUGUGAAGGAGACUGAGGGUGGUGGCUGGGCCUCCAGAACACCAGAUGAGGACUUUGUUACUAACAACAGCCUCUGCCUGAAUGCUGGCUGCCAGGCAACCACUGCCAAUCCUCCAACCACCUAGCAAGGGAAGUAUUGCUAUUUCCACUUAGCAGAUGAAGACAGCAGUUCAGAGAGGUUAAGUAAGUUGCUCAGAGCCACACAGCAUUCCUACCAACUCUGUCCUACUCCGCCGCCAGGACUCUUCCAGCCGCAACUCAGUCUCUUCCGGGUUGCUCUGUCCUGGGUUGGGCCGCGCACCUCCUAGGACUUCUCAGGCCCAGGAAAACAAGGUCCCAGGAGCCUUCCAGUAAGUUCAGAGGGUUUCUGGCUCAUCCAUGAGCAAACAGGGACAAGUGGCUUCAGUCCUGUUCCUCCCCGCUGCCACCCACCCUGCCAGGUUCCUUCCCCACCUCGGUCACCAAACCAGCGCAGUUUGUUCUCCAGAGCACGUCGGCGUGAGCCCUGGGCUGGUGAGCACAGCCGCUCCCUGGUCUUUGUGUUUCUGGGAGUCCCCAGGCCAGGGCUGCAGGACUUAGGAAGGCCAGGCAGGGUGUUUGUAACACUUCAGGGGUGGUGUCCUGUAUGGCUUCCGCGUGUCCCCUCUGGUGAUGAGGAUCUGUCUCCUCUGCAAUGAACUGAUGAGAAGGGAGGAGCCGGGAGCGGCUCUGAAGGGGCCCCGCCCUCUCCACUCUGCCUGAGGCCUUGCCCCUGGGAGGGGUUCGCACAGCCCUGGACACUGCUCUGUGAGGCAUCGGCAACACACUUUGGUCAACGAGCCCUUCUAGAGGCUGACUAUGUGUCGUCAUUGUGCUGGUCACUGGCGAUCCAGACACUCGCCAAGCCCCGGCCCUGCCUGCCCCUCCGGCCAUCGCUGAGCAGAGGGCAGCAGGGAGGCCAGUGGGCACGGAGGGGAGCAUCCUCCCCCUCCCCCCCCCCCUCCAGACUGUUCAGGGC